AUGAGCUUCUGACUUAAGAGAAAGUGACUUAGAACAGUCUACAAUGUAAAGAUUAAGUAAGAAAUGUGUGUCAUUGUAUUGUAAUUUUGUUUAGCUAAAUAGUAUGCUUAUCCAUACUUAUUCAAUAAUUCAAAUAUUGUUUUACUAACCAUUUUAACAUACCUUUGUCCUACGCCACCAUGAAUGAGCCUCUGUCUUGACUGAGAAAGUAAUAUGUUAUUUUGUAAAAAUGGUUCUCAGUGAUUUAAUAAAUAAACCAUUAUUUGUCUUACUCACCAUCAUGUAUCUUUUUCUUCUCUUCCUCCACCUCCUGAGCUGCUGCCGUUCACUGCAUGUGGACAGCGAGGUGAUCGGCUUCUGACUUAUAUAAAGAUAAAUAAAGUAAUGUCCUAUAGAGCUCAACAGUGACCGCCCACUUCUGCUUAAAUAAAGAGAGCAUAGAGUAUAAGGAUACAUAAAGUAAUGUGUUGAUUGCUGCACCGGACAGAAGAAUGGCAAUCGUUUAUGACAAGAUUUCAAUAUUUACAGACAUUUACUGGCCUUUCUCAGUCUGCAGGAUUAUGUGCACUGCGCCAACGUCCAGACAGGCAGCGACUCAGUGUUCCUGCAGUACAUCCAGGGUUACCUUGACAAGAGAGCUGGAGAGAAGUGGUCAUCUGUGUUUUAGUCGACUAAGGAUGUAUCUUAAGCAAUAGAAAGAGUUAUAUCAGCUGAUGUAAGGCAGCAC
Perca fluviatilis (European perch) is the source of this 727-nucleotide long non-coding RNA. RefSeq lists it as uncharacterized. Lineage: Eukaryota; Metazoa; Chordata; Actinopteri; Perciformes; Percidae. The record is from RefSeq and is a predicted model, not a curated record. The transcript has 3 exons.